ACGUAGGUGGCAAGCGUUGUCCGGAUUUAUUGGGUUUAAAGGGUGCGUAGGCGGUUUUUUAAGUCAGUGGUGAAAUACGGCAGCUUAACUGUCGAGGUGCCAUUGAUACUGGGGAACUUGAGUACUGAUGAGGUAGGCGGAAUGGACGGUGUAGCGGUGAAAUGCUUAGAGAUCGUCCAGAACACCGAUAGCGAAGGCAGCUUACUAAGGAGUAACUGACGCUGAGGCACGAAAGUGUGGGGAUCAAACAGGAUUAGAUACCCUGGUAGUCCACACUGUAAACGAUGAUUACUCGAUGUGUGCGAUACACGGCACGCGUCUUAGCAAAAGCGAUAAGUAAUCCACCUGGGGAGUACGCCGGCAACGGUG
RNAcentral lists this ribosomal RNA (369 nucleotides) under uncultured bacterium. Its description in RNAcentral is "bacterial SSU rRNA". It matches the Rfam family "Bacterial small subunit ribosomal RNA", at positions 525 to 896 of the family's 1533-position model. The record is from RNAcentral.